UGGGGAAUAUUGGACAAUGGGCGAAAGCCUGAUCCAGCCAUGCCGCGUGUGUGAAGAAGGUCUUCGGAUUGUAAAGCACUUUAAGUUGGGAGGAAGGGCAUUAACCUAAUACGUUAGUGUUUUGACGUUACCGACAGAAUUAAGCACCGGCUAACUCUGUGC
This 162-nucleotide ribosomal RNA is filed under the name uncultured bacterium. RNAcentral describes it as "partial 16S ribosomal RNA". It matches the Rfam family "Bacterial small subunit ribosomal RNA", at positions 355 to 508 of the family's 1533-position model. The record is from RNAcentral.